GAUGAACGCUGGCGGCGUGCUUAACACAUGCAAGUCGAACGAAACACUUACAAUUGAUUCUUCGGAUGGAAGAGUUUGUGACUGAGUGGCGGACGGGUGAGUAACGCGUGGGUAACCUGCCUCAUACAGGGGGAUAACAGUUAGAAAUGACUGCUAAUACCGCAUAAGCCCACAGCUCCGCAUGGAGCAGAGGGAAAAGGAGCAAUCCGCUUUGAGAUGGCCUCGCGUCCGAUUAGCUAGUUGGUGAGGUAACGGCCCACCAAGGCAACGAUCGGUAGCCGGACUGAGAGGUUGAUCGGCCACAUUGGGACUGAGACACGGCCCAG
RNAcentral lists this ribosomal RNA (326 nucleotides) under uncultured bacterium. RNAcentral's name for it is "bacterial SSU rRNA". It matches the Rfam family "Bacterial small subunit ribosomal RNA", at positions 28 to 334 of the family's 1533-position model. The record is from RNAcentral.